GCUUCCUUCGGGAAGUGGAUUAGCGGCGGACGGGUGAGUAACACGUGGGUAACCUGCCUCAAAGUGGGGGAUAGCCUUCCGAAAGGAAGAUUAAUACCGCAUAACAUAAGAGAAUCGCAUGAUUUUUUUAUCAAAGAUUUAUUGCUUUGAGAUGGACCCGCGGCGCAUUAGCUAGUUGGUAAGGUAACGGCUUACCAAGGCAACGAUGCGUAGCCGACCUGAGAGGGUGAUCGGCCACAUUGGAACUGAGACACGGUCCAGACUCCUACGGGAGGCAGCAGUGGGGAAUAUUGCGCAAUGGGGGAAACCCUGACGCAGCAACGCCGCGUGGGUGAUGAAGGUCUUCGGAUUGUAAAGCCCUGUUUUCUGGGACGAUAAUGACGGUACCAGAGGAGGAAGCCACGGCUAACUACGUGCCAGCAGCCGCGGUAAUACGUAGGUGGCGAGCGUUGUCCGGAUUUACUGGGCGUAAAGGGUGCGUAGGCGGAUGUUUAAGUGGGAUGUGAAAUCCCCGGGCUUAACCUGGGGGCUGCAUUCCAAACUGGAUAUCUAGAGUGCAGGAGAGGAAAGCGGAAUUCCUAGUGUAGCGGUGAAAUGCGUAGAGAUUAGGAAGAACACCAGUGGCGAAGGCGGCUUUCUGGACUGUAACUGACGCUGAGGCACGAAAGCGUGGGUAGCAAACAGGAUUAGAUACCCUGGUAGUCCACGCCGUAAACGAUGGAUACUAGGUGUAGGGGGUAUCAACUCCCCCUGUGCCGCAGUUAACACAAUAAGUAU
This 777-nucleotide ribosomal RNA is filed under the name bacterium enrichment culture. RNAcentral describes it as "bacterial SSU rRNA". It matches the Rfam family "Bacterial small subunit ribosomal RNA", at positions 73 to 867 of the family's 1533-position model. The record is from RNAcentral.